Molecule: long non-coding RNA, 17402 nt
Organism: Equus asinus (donkey)
Lineage: Eukaryota; Metazoa; Chordata; Mammalia; Perissodactyla; Equidae
Source: Ensembl
UUUUUUUUUUCUGCUUUAUCUCCCCAAACCAACCCCCGUACACAGUUGUAUGUCUUAGUUGCAGGUCCUUCUAGUUGUGGGAUAUGGGAUGCCACCUCAACGUGGCCUGACAAGAGGUGCCAUGUCCACGCCCAGGAUCUGAACCCUGGGCCGCCAUGGUGGAGUGCCUGAACUUAACCACUCGGCCACGGAGCCGGCCCCUUUUAGCCACAUUUUAAGCCCUCAAAAACCACAUGGGGCUAAUAAUGACUUUAUUGGAUAGUGCCGAAACAAAUGUUUACAUUCUUGCUGAAAGUUCUCUUGAACAGGCUCCAGAAGUAGGGCAUCUAGAACCAGGGUAGAAUUCCAGACAUCCUUGUUCAUCCCUUGUGCCCUUCCAGGUCUGUCCCCUGCAGUAACCACACUAGGGUGGCCUUCCCGUGUAAUUUCUCACCAUUGGCACAGAGGCUACAUAGAGUUGUCAUCUGUGAGGAAUUCCUGCAGCUGACCCAGAAUGGUACCCAGCAGAGCUUUGCCCUGGACAAGAACAGUGUCCCUGUGGAUGGUGAAGCUCCCUGGUCAAUGGGGUGGAGUGGGGUUUCCAAUUUCCACAUCUGGGGUCUUUCCUGGGAAUCUGGAGGCCUGGGGAUGGGACAGAAUUCAACUUUCUCAGGCUGGCAGGAGGUGGCAUAGUCCCCCAGGCUUUGCCCAUCAUUGAGGGAGAGAAAAGGACUCCCAGUGGGAUAUAGCAGGCACUUGCCUUCUCCCAGAGAGCUCUGUGAUCUCAGGCCAGUCACCUCCCCUCUCUGGACACCUGCUUCAUUAUCUCUGCAUUGAAAUCGCUUGGCCGGAUGGUCAGUGAGGACCUCCAGCUGUGUGUGAACCCACGUUGGCAGGUGUGGUGGGAUGGGCCUGUUUUCUGAUCCACAGGCUGUAUAAAAAUAGGAAUGGGUCUGACUUGACCCACAGGCUGUAGUUUGCCAAGUCAUGCUCUAGAUCAGCACGAUGCACUAGAACUUCCUGUAAUGAUGGAAAUGUUCUAUGUCUGAGCUAUCCAGUGCAUACACACAUGUGGCUAUCGAAUACUUGAAGGAUGGAAUUGUGACUGGUUUUUAUGGUUACUGAUUUUUAAUGUUACUGAGGUACCAGAUCUUUAAUAUUAUUUCAUUAAAAUUAAUUUUAAUUUAAAAAGGCACUUGCUGUUCCAUAUUGGACAACACAUCUCUAUGAAGUUGCCUGGAGAGAGGUUGCACAAGUAGGGGGACCUACAACCCUCCCUUGGUACACAGUGAGUGCUCUGUGUCCCUACCCCUUGGAGUUGAUGGUGUAGUUGGCAGUAACAAGAACAGGCAAUUAAAAAUUAUAAAUUAUUUGAUGCAAACCAGUCCAUACUUGGGAGUGUUAAUCAGAAAAGGCUUCCUGAAGGAAAUUCCAUUGUAGCUGAAUCCUGGAAUAUGAAUAUAAAACAACUUGGUAAAGGAGAGUGGGAUAAGUGUGUUUCCAGGCAGAGAAGAAAUUGUUUGGGAAUUUACAAAUUUAGAGAGAUCGCAUCGGCUUGCCAACUGGUGACCCAUGCUCCCCUCACCAUCAUAAGAUGGCCCGGCCCAAUUUCAGUCCCCUGUGCCCAGAGGUAUAAAUUUGAUUUAAUGUGUUACAGUAUUGUAGUGUGAUAGAGGCCUUGGAUUAUGUAGCAAAGUGUCCUAAUUAUUCAGAGAUGCAAACUGAAAUGAGGUGAAACAUCAGAAUGUCUACUCAACUUUAAUAUUUCAGUGAGGGGCCAUCCCCAUGGCUGAGUGAUUAAGUUUGUGCAUAGCAGCACAGGGUUCACUGGUUCAGAUCCUGGGCACAGACCUACACACCACUCAUCAAGCCAUGCUGUGGCAGCAUCCCCCCUAGAAGAACUAGAAUGACCUACACCUAAGAUAAACAAUUUUGUACUAGGGCUUUGGGGAGAAAAAAUAUUUCAGUGAAAAUAUGGGAGAAAGCAAGGGUGGCAAGUGUGAAUAAUUUACACAUUGGAUUAAAUAUUGUUUUAAUUGAAGUUUACAUUGUUAAAUCUAGGCAAUGGAUGUUUCCAAUAUUGUUCCACUUUUCUGUGUGUUUGAAAAGCUUUAUUUAAAAAAGUAAAACAUACGUGUAUUUUCCACUUUAUUCACUUCCAGUGUGCUCUCCCAACAGAAAUGGUGGCUUGACUGAGAAUUCUGGUAAGCCUCAAGGAAGCCCCAGUCUGGGGUUGGGAGGGAAUAUCUCGAUGCUCUGCCCCAUCAAAGAUAACCAUGCACACAGGAUCUUAGGUGAUGAUGAAAACUGGCCAACCCAUGUCAAAGCAUGUUGAGCACAGUGGGGGGACAGCAGGAACCCUGGGGGAAUGACAGGAGUGGCUCAGCCCAGCACUUGUCUCCCCGGACCUCCCCUUCUGGGCCAUCAUCCUCAUCUGCUUGGUGGGACUCAUGGUGCUCAUCACAUGCCUGAUCUGCUGUCUCCUGGUAAGCAAGGAAGUGCCACUUGUUUUCUUUCUAUUGGGUUGUAAGAGCUCUUUAUAUAUUAUAAAUAUAUGUGCUUUGCUAGGGAUAUGUUUUGCAAAUAUUGUCUCCUAUUGGCCAUUUGGUGUUCAUUUAGAGCUUUAGAGCUUGAAUCACUAGUGACAUUAUCAUCUGCCCAACUCUGAGUGACUCACUCCCCUGUCCCAGACAUUUCCAUCAACCCAAAGGAUCGUGUUCAAAAAUAAAUAAUUCAGAAACAUAUUAACCCACCACAAAUUCUUGAUGACCAAUUUUUGCUAAAACACUCGUACAAUAGAUACUAGUUCCUCAAGAUCAGAAGUGAUGCCACAUCACCAUGUCCUCAGCUUAAUUUCUCUUCUCUUAUUCCUACCGUUCCUGGAUUUCUUAGCCUAUGAUCUCAAUAAUUCCCUUGGAAUCAUCCAAAAUUUCUUACCACUCAUCAUAUCUGCCUUGUAAAACUUAAACCCCAGAAGAUCAUGAUCAUCUGCCAUGCCUUAGCUGCUGCUGGUCUUAGGAUUUUAUGACGCAACAUGCUAUUUUGGUACCAUUGUAAAUCCAAAAUCAGCUGCAUCAACUGAGAAGCAUCCCUAAUGCCUGGAAAUUCUACUUUCUUUUCAUGUGUUGGCAUAUUUACUCCUUGAUUUUCCACAAAGCUUGUUUUAAAUAUUCCCCACAUUUCUUUUUCCUUCAUAUAUGUUCAAGGUCUCUUAACUUGCCUGAUAUUUCACAGAGAAAUCACUGUCUCUACUCCUUCCCCUUAGCCAUGAGCCAUUGAGAAAAGGUCAUCUACGUUAUGUGUCUGUGACCUCACCUCCAACUACCUCCUCAGAAAACCUCACACUCCAUCUGCCCUCACCAUUCUAUGUGUGCUUCCCUUGUAAGGCCACAGUGAUUCCUUUCUUACUAGACCCACUAGGGACUUUUCAUCAUUCAUCUGACAUGAAUAUUCAGUGGAAAACUUUUAUAUGUUGGGAGCUCCUUAGAUAUGUGAAUCUCGUGUUACAACAGUGACCACUAUAGUAUCUCAAUGUAGAAGCUGCAUAUGUGAAAAAAUUCAACGUACAAAUGGAGACCGUGCUAUAAAUGAAUUUGUAGAUCCCAGUAAAAGAAAAAAAGAACAUAAACUAUUUCAUUAUUAAUUUUUAUAUAGAUUGCAUGCACUAAUGAUAGUAUCUUGGUUAUAAUGUGUUAAAAUAUACUAUUAAAAUUAGUUUCACCUGUUUAUUUUUACUUCUUUUAAAUGUGGCUACUAAGAAAAUUUUAAAUUCCACAAGAUAGAGUGCUAAAUUCUACUGUUGGACAGUACUGGUCAAGCCAUGAAAAUAAAGCCCAGAGAAAGUGGUGAGGCACAAUUUUUCCCACGGAAAGGAGUCUGUCGACCCACAUGGCAAGAUGCAGAAAACACUGCCGUACACACACACAGACACACACACAUAUACUUACAAAACAAAACAAACAUCGUCCUAGAGUUCCAUCACUACUUCUCAAGUGGCAAGAGGAUUGCACUCCUACAUAGUCUUAAGUGGACUAACCUCAGGAAAGAAGUCAGAAGUCAAGAUAAUUUACCAAUCAGGAAGAUCUAAAACUGGAGACUCAAGGACAAGAUAUUUUGUGAGUUUCCCAUUGACGCAUUCUGUUAGUAAUUCAACACAUUAGGAAGACUUUUCGAAGGAGGGUUGUUUUAAAACUCACCUUUCCUUUAGUUUGUAAAAAUAUACAAGAUAUGUAAAGAAUAAUUACUCUAGCCCAUCAAUGAAAAGGAGAUGAUAGAACAUGAAUAUCACUGUCAUAAAUCACUCUUGGAUUAGUGAGCCAGUCGGGGAAUAGAUGACAUUGGAUUAAUUUGGACCUCAUUAGGCCUAUUCUGACUUCAUGACCAUCAUAUUGAUUGUCUCAUGCUAGGACCUAUGAAACUUGCUGGCCCCACCACUAUUUAACCACCAAGGUCCACCAAGCAGGCCAGUCCUUUCCGACAAAUCCUCGGACUCCACCCCUCUGCCAACACCUGGAGCAUUUCCCCCAAAUCCCACUCCUUCACAGCGCUCUUCCACCUGCCACCAGCCAGGGAACAUUUCCUCCAAGGCUCACACAGUGUGGGCCCAGUCCUGGGGAAGACACUUCUCCCUCAAGUGAAGAAAAGGAUCAGAGUGCAGCCCCUGUGGGCUGCAGCCGUUAGGACAAGGACUGGCAUUUGUGACAGAGAGAAGAGAACCUUUAGUGGGUGUGGGUACCAGUGUUCCAGAAGCCCCAGUGAUUCCUGGAUAGAACCAAAGAAGACAACGCAGGACAGAGCAGGUAUUGUUGGGUGUGAUUCUGCUUGGGAAUGCCCAUAGGAAGACAUUUGUGACAUUGAUAAUGCAUUCAACAGUGCUGUUCAUUCAUCGAUUCAUCUUACCUCAUGGAGUGCUUUCUAUAUUCAUUCCGGCACCAGCCUCACCCUCUGGAGCUUACAGACAAUGUCAGAAGAAUUUUUAAAUUUUAUUUACAAUAUAUAGUUACAGUGCUUGUGAUGUGCGAGGUGUUCCAAGCAUUUUCGAAACAUUAACUCCUUUAAUACUCUCCGUGUUCUUACAAAUUAGGUACAUUUGUCAUUCUUGCCAACAACAGAUGAAGAAACUGAGGCACCGAUGAGGUAAGUACUUUGCCCUCUACCAAUAAAUAUCUAGGAAGUGACUGAGCUGGAAUUUGAACAUAAGAUGUUGCUCCAUAUUCUCUGCUCUUAACCAUGAUGUUUACCCUCUAAGACUUCACACCACGAAGACACUGGACCAGCUUAUCCAUUUUCUUGUUACAUCAAGUAGCCCCAUUCUUGGAUCUGUGUCUGAGAAAGAUACUAUUUGCAUCGAAACUGUUGCACAUACACACCCAAGUGACUUCUAGCAGUAUCCUCUGUCCUCGAAAAUUCAUAGAGAACAUUUCAAAACCUUUCUUGCCCAGGCUGGGAGGCCUUCUAGGGAAUCCCACUGUUCCUCUAAGAAGCCAAGGGCAGGCUGGGAGUUGGGUCUCAGGGGAAAGGCAGCCUCAGGAGUUACCAUGGAAUUACAAAAUUGAUGGGAUGGUCUCAGCAGUAACUGAAUUCAGGAUCUGGUAGUGUUUCAGGCUGGGUGGCAAUUUUCUGGCUGUGGGUAUAGGGGCUGGUGCUGCAUUACAAGGAGAGGGGAUGGCUCUCUGUGUUCUUGGGGAAACCAGGACCCAUGAAAGAGCGAGAAUGAGAGUUUCUUUUCACAAUGGACUUGUGAUGGCAAAGAUUCAGCCCAGAAGAGACAGUUAUGUGCCUGGGGUAACCAAAAGCUGCAUUUGCUUCCACCAAAGCAGAAAGCCCUUCUUCACGGACUCAUUUUAUCCAAAUGAGACCAAGAAGGAGGAAAUAAUGUGAUGCUCUUGCAGGUGUGAGAUCCCUGACAGUGGAGACUGUGCCUGGGAAGUUCUGAAAGGCCUCACAGAGAUGCCAUUUGCUGCAAGCAGAAUGAUAAGUGUGCAGACCUGAAAACAAGGCCAAGAGGGGCAGUGACUUUCCCAAGAUCACAGAGCUGGAACCCAGGCCUGCUUUGAGAGGUUGAGAGAUUGAGGAGGCCCUGAGAGGCACAAUGAUGUUUUCAGGACACAGACCUGGUUGGAAAAAAGAGAUCUGGACUCAGCUGUGUGUCCUCCAACUGGAACCCUGGUUCCAUUCUCAAGGUCCUGUGUGGGGCGCUGUGCUGGAUAUUUGCCUACUGCUAUGGAGAUGACAUGGGCAAGGAGGGUGAGAGUCAAGAGCCGAGAGGGGGUUUUGGGUGGGUGUGGUUGAUGGAAGGGGACCAGGUAAUGGAGCCUUGGAGAAGUGUUCACCUCCUUGGCGACAGGCCCCAACAGAACUUAGCACUCUGGUCUCCAGGCACCCACAUUAGACAUAGCUUCCUAUUGAGCUCACUUGAGUGGAGACACUCAACACAACAGGAUGUUCUUGUCUUGUAUCCCAACUCGUGGAGGCUCUGGCUUCUGGAAAGCCGAGAAUUAAUGAGAGUCUUUUCAGUCACUGUAGACAUUGGCUCAGCCCUCACCUGCAACACCUCUGGCCGUCUGGCAGGAGGAGCCCUCAGGUAACACAGGACAGGCCACUCCAGGUCAGGCCACAGCUGGAUCCCACCUGGAGACCCCCACAAACCUUGACCCUCAUUUUGUGUCAGGGGAGUACAGUGAGGGACGGUGGGGCUGAGCAGGGACCCACCCUGGGCAGGAGCAGAUUGCUCGGUGUUGGAAGCCUGGCAGUGUCAUGUUCCUAGCCCAGGUUGUGGCUGGCAGGAUGGGAAGGUGAGUGCUGGGGACCAAGCUCCUUUACCCGUAUGUUAAUCCUGAGCUCUCUGGGUGUCAUCUCCUUCCCUCUCUGGCUGGAGGUCUAGGCAGAUGCCCCUCUGUACCUGAUCUGUUGUGGGAGUUUCCCCCCGUGGCCAAGUCGAGGCAGGCCUCUGAGACCUCGUGGCCUGGCUCUUGGGCACUGUCUUUGCAAAGCUGCACACAGGAGAUGGUCGAGGAGCUGGCGGAUAGCUUCGGCUACUCCCUCUCUCCGGAGAGGGGGCAGGUGCACCAUGCCACCAAGAAUGACCAGGGCUGGUCUGAGGUGAGAGUGGGCACAGAUGGGUCUCCCUAUCCAGGACCCUGAGAUGACCAGGGCUGGCUCAGAAUCCAGAGUCAAACUGAGAUUUCCCCGGGUACCUAACAGGGCUGUCCCACCUGAGUGUCCCAUGUUCCCAUUCCCAAAGGAAUCUGGACUUCCCCUCCUCCCCACCAGCUGCCUAGGAGGGUGGGAAGUCCCUCUUUGCACAUUCCUAGGAAGAUUAGCAGAAACAUUGGCCUUGUUUUCACUUCCCACUAGGAUGUGAGUAUCUUUGAAUUUUGCCUUUUUCUGAACCUGGGACCCCCAUAAUGAGGGUCUCAAAACUCCCUUUAAUGUAAGAGAAAGAACCAUCAGUGUCUUUUUGAAGUCAACAGGAUUCUCACAGGGUAUGUCUGCCCUCUACAUUGUCUCCAAACUAGGGAGGGGUGGGCCUCCCACAGAACAUUUCCCUCCAGGUCAAGGGCAAAUGAAGCUUCGGGCAGUUUAGAGGGAAGUUCUGUCAGCCUUCAUUUGGGGCGGUUCUCAGUUCUGACCCACAGGACCUUGAGAAGCCGCUUGGCAUGCCUAAGCCUCUGUUCUCAUCUCUAUAGAGGGGGUGUCUGUUGAGGAUUCACUGGGCUGGUGAUCAUCAUACAGGGAGGUCUGUUGUUCCUCAGAGAACAAAUGGCCUUGAGGGAGCUCACUGGAGAAUCCUUCCCCCCCAAACUCAGAUUGUACUUUGAAAGCCCACAACCUUGUUCAGUGUGGGAGCUCCUGUCCCUUCUGUAGCACACGUCCCUGAGGGGCUGGGGGUUCCUGGGUGAGAUGUAGACCUCCAUCCUCCCGGUGGUUCACGGUGAUGCCACUGACUCUAUGUCCCUCCUCGUCCCACACAAUGUGAAGAUGAGUCCACUGUGUAUCUAAAUGAGGUCUGCAGGAUGGGCACCCUCUAGGCAGGUGUGAUGGAGAAGCUGACAGAGUCCAUGGUCCCAGCCUUCCCGGGUAGAAUCAUCUGCAAUGUCACCACCUUUGUGUGCAACUACUCAGCCUUCAACACUUCCCACCAGGUCCUGGACCAACUGUUUACCAGGUGACUGCCCGCCUCCUCCUCAGCACAGUGGUGACUCUGCCCAUGGCCAGCUGUGUGUCUCGGGAAUGUCACCACAUCUCUCUGAGCCUCAGUUUGCUCCUCUGAAAAGUGGAAUUGGGGAGGAUGAACUUCCUAGGGUUCUCCCAGGGAUGAAUGGGGUCAGCCAUCCAGGUGCUUCCCUGGUGGCUGGCUCUGCAGAGAGGGCCGUGGGCCAUGCUGUGGCUGUUCUUGGUGAGCAUUUCUCUGUCCUCCAUGAAAAGUAGUCUUCCUCUCCCUUCACUGGCUUGUGGCUUUUUGAGUUUGGAAAACUACCUGUAGAGCACCCUGUCAAGGAGUUUGAGAUUCCAUCCAGCUGGUCUUAGUGCUUGUCCUUGGUAUAGCCAAUUAGGGAUCUCUGGGGCCACAGAGGGGCCCCAGACCCACUCAGAUACCUGGGGUGGUUCUGGUUGGAGUUCAUUCAACAAUUAAGUGCCUACUCCACGCAGGACUUUUGAAGACACUUAGCAUAACUCAAUGAAUGAAGCAGACACCAUCCCUGGUCCUCAAUUCUACUCUGAGAGUCAGGCAGUCACACUCGAAAUCAUUCACAGGUACUGUCCACUAUACGAACCAUGAGAUGCCCUUGUAUCUUCUUGGACAUAUGGAGGCAUCUUCCCACAUUGUGAGUGGGAUGAUGGACCAAAGGACCACCUAAAAAAAUGAGUGGUCUUUGGGUCCAGAAGGAGGGCCUCCUGUCUCUAGAGAACAUGUUUGAGGGAGAGUAUGGGGCUGUGGCUUUGGCAGGCCUAGCAGAACCCUGCAUCUCACUCAUCUUUUGAUUCUUAUGGGAGGGCUGAGUUCUGGUGGCUUCCACUCCAGGAGGACAGGAGUCAAAGAGAGCUGUGGAUGGGUCUCAGGCCCCCUGGGAACCAGAAGGGAAGCUGGGCUUAGUUGUUCCCUAGAGACCCAUCCCACCAGAGUCUCAUCUCACUCUGCCUCCCUUUCUCCACAUCCACCCCUUUUGGCCACCACCACCAGGUCCAGAGCAGGAGAUGCAUGAUAAAGUUGCUCACAAAUCUGCCUGAGUCUUCAGUCCAGUGGCCCUCGUGCAUGGAGGGUUGGGGUGGGCUGUAUCCAGGCCCUUUGGGAGAAGAGUGUCAGUGGGAACAAGAGACUCCCACAGACUCUGUGUUCAACCUGGUGGAUGAGCAGGCCUGCCACUGCAAGGACAGCCACACAGGGUUCAGGGCUGGGAUGGGGCUCUCCUCUGGAGGAGAAGAGGCAGGCACAGGGGUCCAGAUCCAAACAAGGGUGCUUCAGGAGGGCAGUGUGGAAAGAAAGGCCAGGUCUCUGACUCUGCGGCCCAUCUGCUGCUCCUCAGUGCUAUCUCUUUUAUGGUGGGAAGCUGGCUGGACCAAGGGCAGGAUUUCUGGGAGCGCCUGCACUUUCCCUGUUUGACAGUGAAGCUGGCCAUUGUUCAUGUCAGCUUUGGUGGCUGAAGGGAAAUGGAGGUACUGUAGACAAUCAGACUGGAGCAGCUUCGGUGCAGAUGUGACUCAGCAUGUCCCCUGCAGGCAGUGCACACGCCAACCAUGUAUGUAAACACCUUACGUAACCUGCAUAAUGUAAACAUUGUAUGUCAUCUGCUGGCUGUAUGCCGCUUUUGUCUAGUAGUCAUUUAAAAGUGGCCACAAGGGGAGCUGCUGUGCUCCCACCGUCUGUGGGCCAGAGUAAACAAAGAGUAUGUCUCCCUUGCGGUUGGCUGCUCACAGCUUUUUUCUUUUCUGUUUUUUUUUUUUUUUUGAGGAAGAUUAACCCUGAGCUAACAUCUGCUGCCAAUCCUCCUCUUUUUGCUGAGGAAGACUGGCCCUGAGCUAACUUCUGUGCCCGUCUUCCUCUACUUUAUAUGUGGGACACCUACCACAGCAUGGCUUGCCAAGAGGUACCAUGGCUGCACCCAGGAUCUGAACUGGUGAACCCUGGGCCGUGGAAGCAUAACGUGCACACUUAACCAUUGUGCCACUGUGCCAGCACCUUGCACCUUUUUCAAUUCCCCAAGCCCCAUAGUCCAGUCCUUGGCUGUUUUUCUCCUGCUUACAAUUGACCUAGUCAGCCAGAUUCUGGGGUGAGUGGACCUAUGGCUCCUGAGGCUGACGGGACGGACAUGUGGCCACCCACUAGUAUGUGGUUCCUGGUGGUGGAGGUCCUGCUGAAUUGGGCUCCUGCAGAAGGAUGGGAGUCUGUGGAUGGUACCCCAGUCAGCACUGAGACGGCUCUGCGUAGCCUAGGGGAGCAGGUGCCGGAGAAGGCCCAGCGUGCCAUGGGGCCGGCUGGCUGUUUUUGACAGCGUUAUGCUGCAACAUGGAUUCUGCCCUGCAGGAUGCAACCUGCAUACAGGAACUCCAAGCCAAGGAGCAUGCCUUGGAGGUGCGGGUGUGGCAGUUGGAACUGGAGCUGGAAAUGGUGCCUCGCAGUGAGACAGCAGAGGACACUGAGGUUGGGGACUGCCGAGGAUGGGGACGUGGAGGAAACAUGCCCUCUCCAUGCUUGGCCAGUAAUCCAGCAAAAGGUAAAGCAUGAGCAACCCUUGGGUCUAGGAGGUGUCGCCCAAGGAGCCUCGAUUGUGACAGAGUUCAUGGCAUAGUCCCCUUAUACGCCAAUGGAACUGUGGGACCUGUGUAAGCAGUGCAGGCAACAGCUGGGUGAGCCCAUACUGGCCUGGCUCCUGUGGCUAUGGGAUGAGGGGGCGGAUAGUAUAAUCUGUACUUCUGACGAGAUGGAGAAGCUGGCCUCCAUCACGUUGCCCCCCUCCAUCUGGCAGUGGUUCCAGAAUAGCUGCCAGCUAGGCCAAGGGCAGGGAAAUCACUCCAUGAUGGAGUGGGUGACAGCUGCCGCCCGGACUGUGUGGGAUAACGCCGGGGAGCUCCUGGAGACUGUGAGCCAAUGGCAGACCUAUGCGGAACUGGUGCAAGUUAUCCGUGAGUUGGAAAUGUGGCAAGCCAUUUUUAACCUUCAUACCCGGGGGCCCAAUGAUGAGUGCUUUAUGUCCAGGAUGAAGGACUUGGUCCUUAACUCAGCCCCAUCUAAUGCUUUUGGGUCCUUGGUGGCCAUGAGGUAACCACUGCAAUGGCCACUUUGGGGGAUGUAGAAGGCUGACAGAAGGAGAAAACCAAGCGUGUCACACGGUGAGUGGUGCCAAAGCUGAGAGCAGGCUUGGCAGAGAAAGGGCCUAAACAAGUUACCUGCAUGUAAAAGUGGGUAGACCUGCUAGCCUCAGGCAUUGAUCAGAUGAAAAUAACUGGCAGCCGAAUGCUGUCUUGGUGGCACUGUGGCAUCAGUUGAAGCCUGAGCAACAGUUCUAAAAGACUGUGGAAAGGCGAAAGAAUCCCAGCAAGAACAGGCAAGUAAGCCUCCAGGACUUUACACAGCCCUGAGGUGAGGAGCCCAUGUACCUCUUUGACUAGGGGAGAGGCCGGAGUGCCUGGCUUGGGGGACCCCUGGAGGACUGGAGGCCACAUGUGGAACUUGCGAUUUACCGGUCCCCCACAAAUGUGCAGCGUGCGCUGGCAUUGGUAGAUACUGGAGCUGAGUGUAGUCUGAUUUAUGGCAACCCGGAUAAAUUUCCAGGGAAGCUGGCAUAUGUUGAUGGCUUGGAGGCCAUACUGUGAAAUUGAAGCCAGUGUCUCUGUCCCUUGGCAUUGGCUGUUUGCUGCCCCAAGUGUACACAGUGUCUGUGUCUCCUAUCCCCGCGUAUGUUCUGGGGGUAGACGUCUUGCCAGGACUGCGCCUGCAGAUGACCAUGGGCGGGUUCUGCCUACGAGUGCAUGUGGUUAAGUCUGUUGUCCAGGGGCAUACACACCACCUGCUGCAAGUGUUGCCGGUGCCACGACAUGUAGUGACCACCCAACAGUAUUGCCUCACAGGUGGACAUGAGGAGAUCACACAGACCAUUGCAAAAGUAGAAGAGGCUAGGAUCUUGCAAUCCACCCAAAGCCCUUAUAAUUCCCUGGUUUGGCGAGUGAGGAAGGCUGACGGCACAUGGUGUAUGACUGUGGAUUACUGGGAAUUAAAUACAGUGACUCCUCCAUUGCAUGCUGCUGAGCCCUCAGUGCAUGACAUAAUGGAUCAACUGACAGUCCAAUUGGGACAGUACCACUAUGCUGUGGACCCUGCUUUUCCACCGAUAUUCCGGCUGAGAGUCAAGAUCAGCUUGCCUUCACCUGGGAUGGCAGACAGUGGACAUUUUGUGAGUGGCCACAAGGGUACCUGCCUAGCCCCACUAUUUGUCAUGGCUCAUGGCUCAGGAUUUAGCUGCUUGGACUCACAGUGAUACAGUGCUUGUGUUUCACUAUAUUGAUGAUGUUAUGUUAACCUCUGACUCUUGCAGAUCUACAGCAGACUCCUGAGUCCCUGUGGAAGCAUCUGGCAAUGUGGUUGGGCGGCCAAUGAUGCCAAAGUCCAGGGACCUGGCUUAUCUGUCAAAUUCUUGGGGGCUGUCUGGUCGGGUAAGAUGAGGGUGAUACCUGAAGCAGUCAUUGACAAAAUACAGGCGUACCCCCUGCCAACAACUGUAGCUCAAUUGCAAACAUUUCUGGGCCUGUUGGGGCACUGGUGAGUGUUUAUCCCUCGUUUAGCCCAGGUGGUGAGGCCCCUAUAUGCUGUGGUAAAGAAGGGAGCCCUGUGGGACUGGACAGAUGCUGCAGACCAAGCAUUUAAGGCUGCCAAGAGUGCUGUGCAGCAGGCACAAGCUUUACAGGUGGCUGACCCAGGACAGCCAUAUGAAUUGGACGUCCAUGUUACCCAGGAGGUUUCGGCUGGGGCCUGUGGCAGCUUCACCACUGGGUACGAGCCCCUGUCGGGUUCUGGUUCCAACUAUGGAAAGGAGCGGAAAUACAAUGUUCUCUAGUGGGGAAACAGUUGGCAGCCACCUAUGCCACCCUGAUAGUGUGUGAGGCUAUCACACGAAUGGCCCCUGUUCAGCUUAGAACCAUGUCCCCUAUUCAAGGAUGGCUCCGGUCAUGGGCUACCCGUCCACAGUCUGGCGUGGCCCAGACCCCUACCUUGUCACAGUGGGGGGCUUAUCUAGAACAAAGGAGCUCGGUGAGUUCCAGCCCCCUGAGUAUGGAGCUACAGAGGGUGUUAGGGUCGGUUGAGUUCCUUGCUGUGGGGGAACAGACUCCUAUGGCUCCUCUAGGCAUAGAGCCCAUGCCCUGUGCUGAGGGAAAGCUCCCGGUCCUGGAGGGUGCUUGGUACACUGAUGGUUCUAGUAGAGGGCCAGCUGCUAUGUGGACAGCCAUGGUUAUGCAGCCAAGCCCUGAUACCAUUUGGUUUGAUACUGGCACCAGCCACAGCAGCCAGUGGGCAGAAUUAUGGGCUGUCUGGAUGGUUAUCACCCAUGAACCAGGGCCCUUAGCUGUUUGUACAGAGAGCUGGGCAGUGUACCGGGGAUUGACCCUGUGGUUAUCUGUGUGGCAGGCUCAGCAGUGGUUGUCCAGAAACCACCCCAUGUCGGGGCAGGCCAUGUGGCAGGAACUAUGGGCCUUGGGCCAUGGAAAAGAGGUGACAGUGUAUCAUGUUCCCGGCCAUAUGCCUCUGACUGCUCCUGGGAACGAUGAGGCUGAUGCUCUGGCCCGUGUGAGGUGGCUGGAAAGAGCCCCGUCUGCAGAUGUGGCGCACUGGCUACAUUGAUGCCUAAAUCAUGCAGGGAGCAAGACCGUGGGAACAGUGAGUAACACUGGGGGGUACCCCUCACGUGGCAACAAAUAAUGACAGCAUGUCAAGAAUGUGCUGUAUGUGCCCAGGCCUUUCCUAAUAGAAGGAAACCAGUGUCCACACAGCAGCAAGUAGCUGGAGGGCGUGUGCCCUUGGUCUGACGGCAGGUGGACUACAUCGGACCAUUACCGAAGACCAAAGGCGCUGUGUACGCCUCUACGGCUGUCGAUAAGGCCACCGGUUCCCUCUUUGCACGGCCCUGUGCAGCCACAGAUCAGAGGCAGACACUUCAGGCCCUUGCAGGUACUCUGUGCCUUUUAUGGUUGACCCUUGGUCGAGGAGAGCGACAAGGGGACACAUUUUACAGGACAAGAAGUCCAAUGGUGGGCCAGCACCAUGGAUGUUCAAUGGCUUUUCCAUACUCCUUAUAACCCGGCUGCUGCCAGGAUGAUAGGAAGGUAUAAUGGGCUUUUAAAGCAGGGCUCACACACAGCCACACAGCCUUCCUCCCUGGGAGGCUGGGCAACUCGGUUGCGGCAGGUGCUGAUGGUGUUCAAUGAACAGCCUCAAAAGGGAGGGCCAGCUCCCACAGAGGCUGUGUCACAGCCCCCACACAGCUGCAAGCAGUGACCACUGAUGAGUUACUAAAGCCUGGCUACGGCCGAAAUUACGGCCGAAAUGGAAACAUUCUUUUGCCGGCCCCAACAUGUCUCAACAUGGGGGAAGUACGAGAAUGAGAAUGGCCUUGAAGAUAAAAGCCCGUCACGGCAAGCGGCUGGCGCCUUGAGCACCCUGGGGACUUGGGGAACAACAAGACAUGUCACCUUGUGGGUGACUAGGACUUGGACCCCUCAGGUAACUGUCAGGCUGCCACAGACCGAUGCCAGUUCUGUCCUGAAGGGAGCAUAUGUGAUUUCCAUGUGGCCAAUAAUGAGUUCCCCUGUCCUGCUGCAUGUGGAGCCAGCUCUUGCAGCGCCUCUGCAAGCAGGAAAGGUGUGGUAUCAUCAGCUGGGAUGGCCCCUGUUGGCAGCCACCCUCUUGUCUCAGGAUAAGUGGCUAGCCUGUGUUCUGCCUGAAGGACGUGAUUGGCUCCUCCUAGUUCCUAUCACUGCUUUGUCCUUUCGCCCAUAGACGGAGAGUGGUGAACAGUGUUGCAGAAUGGGCGCACACCUAGCUGAGGUGACCAACAUAGCUAACUGCUGGGUGUGCACAGAACUGCCCACCAGCACUGCAGAAGGCUCGCUGUGACACAUCCACCCUGCUUCAGAAGGGAACUGGACCUGGCUGUGUUCCUGAGGACCUGCUGAUGCUCAGUGGGACCAAAGAAGGCACCAAGUGGACCAGUAGCUGUGCUGACAACAUGGACGAAAACGGCCCUGGGUGACCCUGAGCCUCUGGGAUGACUAUGGGUGGUUAUGUGGGGAGGCUGUUGUGCUCUGCGUGUCUGUGCCCCCGUGCAUAGAGCAACAGAAGGGGGAUGUGAUAGCAGGAUAGGUACCCAAGGAGCUGUGUCAGAAGAUCCAGUGAGUGACCCAGCCCAAGUAUUGGUGGAAUGCCCAUCCCUAUGUCGGGACAGUCCCCAUGGACAGAGUGCCCACGGGCAGUCUCUGGGUCUGUGGUAGUUAUGAAUGGCCUUAUCUCCCUGGCCAACUGGACAGGGUGAUGCACUUGGGGGUGGCCCUACCUCCCAGCUGCUGUUCAGAGAACUUUGGAUGUGUGACCCAGCAAUUGGGAGAGGGUAAAAAGGCGCUGUCACUGGGAGAAAUGAAUGCCCUGGUGGGUUUACCUCCUGGCUGUUCUUAGUCCGUCCGCGGGGACUAUUGCUGUGAAGUGGCAGGUUACUGCCUUGACAGAGCAUAACGCCCGAGCCCUCAGUCAUACAGCCCGGGCCCUGUCUCUCUUAGCUGAUGAAGUAGACCAGACCCAGAAGGUCAUGCUGCAGAACCACAUGGCUCUAGACAUCCUUACUGCAGCACAAAGGGGGACCUGUGCAGUUACUGAGGUGCAAUGUUGCACGUUUAUACAAGAUAGUGCAAGGAACAUAUCGCAAGCCUUGCGACAGGCCAGGCACAAGAUCUCGUGGAUCCAGACAUUGACAGGAGACCCCCUGCAGGAACAGUGAUCUAAGUUGUCCUCCUCGUGGCAGUGGGCUCUGACCACAUUAGGAGGUAUAUCCUGUCUCCUGAUGGUCAUUUGCUGUUCUCUGUAUUGCUGUUGUGGAAUGUAGGUCCAAGGCAUUGGGCUGUGUGCCCAUGCCUCCCGCAAACUCCCCCCACUGCUGAGGUCUGAUGAGGGUGGAGGGAAGGGAAAUGGAGGUACUGUGGACAAUCAGACCGGAGCAGCUUCCGGGCUUCUGUGGCUCAGCAUGUCCCCUGCAGGCAGUGCAUGUGCCAUCCAUGUAUGUAAACACCUUAUGUAACCUGCAUAAUGGAAACAUUGUCUGCUGGCUGUAUGCCACUUUUGUCUAGUAGUCAUUUAAAAGUGGCCACAAGGGGAGCUGCUGUGCUCCCACCAUCUGUCUGCCAGAGCGCAUAGAGUAUGUCUGCCUUGCCACCGGCAGCUUGCACUUUUUUUCAAUUCCCCAAGCCCUGUGGUCCAGUCCUCAGCCGUUUCUCUCCUGCAUACAGUGGCUCAGACCUGGAGGGCCAUGCCUAUCUUUUCCCAGUUGAGCUGGAGCAUCUCGAGUCCAUUGAGGCAGAGUGGGUAGGUGGGGGGACUACAGACUGGGAAGACAGUCUGUGCAGGGGUUCAUGGGCUGGAGUUCUCUUAAAGGCAGUGGAGUCUUUCCUGUCUUUGGAAAGGCACAGGAAAUGUCAGGUAUGUGGGUGAAACUUUCUCUUUAUCCUGCUCCAGAGCCAGCUCCAGAGCUCCUGCCACUUCCAGAGCCAGAGCAAGGGCCAGCUCCUGGGCUAGAGACAGGUCCAGCUCAAGUCCCACCACCUGUGGGAGAGCUGGAGCCAGCAUCACCUGCAUCGGCCCUUCCAGGACUGGAGUUAGGGCCACCAUUGACUUCAGCCCCAGAGCCAGCUCCUUUGCUGGAGCCAACUGGACUCUGGGCUCUAGUGACAUUUCCAGUUCCAUCUGCACAAAUAACGAGCAUGCUGGAUCCAGCCCCAGAACCCUUCUGGCCCUGGGCUGUGACCACCAAGAACCAGCUGAGGGAGGAGAUGCCAAACCUCUUGGACUUCCCUCCCCAGCUGGUGGCAGAGCAGCAGACGAGGAUGGCUGCGACUCCAGGCCCCCAACAAAGAGCCCAGUGGCGGUGGCAGAUGACCCUCCUGAGAGCAGCUGAACUACAGCCUUUUCCUCAGCAGGGAACACAGCUGGGACACUCAGGGUGCACAGGGCCACCUCCUUCCAUUCUGAUGGGGAGAACUUUGUGAUCCUUUUCCCAGGGGUCCCCUGAAGGUGACAAGGGAGGCCAUGACCCCCCCAUCUCCCUCACACCUUUUCCCUAGUGCCUAUUUACCUCUUUGGAGGGGCCAUAUUUCUGUCGUCAGUGGUAAAUGCUGCUUUUGAAUGUUAUAUUAAACGCCUGUUUCCUUCUCAGCCUGGGAGUGCUGGU